Molecule: transfer RNA, 71 nt
Filed under: Galdieria sulphuraria
Lineage: Eukaryota; Rhodophyta; Bangiophyceae; Galdieriales; Galdieriaceae
Description: tRNA-Glu
Source: RNAcentral
UUCCGCUGCCGGGGCUUGAUCCCGGGUCUCCUGGGUGAAAACCAGGCAUCCUAACCACUGAGUCACUUGCA